GAUGAACGCUGGCGGCGUGCUUAACACAUGCAAGUUGAACGAAGUGGCGGAUGGGCGAGUAACACGUGAGGAACCUGCCUUUCACAGGGGAAUAACACUGGGAAACCAGUGCUAAUACCGCAUAGUGAGAGAUGGCCUCGCGCCUGAUUAGCUAGUAGGUGAGGUAACGGCUCACCUAGGUGAUGAUCAGUAGCCGGACUGAAGGUUGAUCGGCCGCAUUGGGACUGAGACACGGCCCAGACUCCUACGGGAGGCAGCAGUGGGGAAUAUUGGGCAAUGGCGCAAGCCUGACCCAGCAACGCCGCGUGAAGGAAGACGGUCUUCGGAUUGUAAACUCCUUCACCAUCGACGCGGUAGAUGGAGAAGAAGCACCGGCUAACUACGUGCCAGCAGCCGCGGUAAUAC
RNAcentral lists this ribosomal RNA (405 nucleotides) under uncultured bacterium. Its description in RNAcentral is "partial 16S ribosomal RNA". It matches the Rfam family "Bacterial small subunit ribosomal RNA", at positions 28 to 526 of the family's 1533-position model. The record is from RNAcentral.